AUGGACGUCGAUGAUGAUGUGGAGGACGAUGACAUGGAUUUCAACCCUUUAUAUAGGGAAGGAUCACCAUCCGAGACCUCGUCAAGCCUCACCUCAGAGGCAGAAUGCGAGGGAACUAGCUUUCAAAAUCAACCAAGCACUGAGGUGCUUCUUCGCAAUAGUCCUGGUAAUGGAAAUGCAGGUGAUUGUGUACUUCCCACAGAAAGUUUGUCAGCCAAAGGUGCCUGCAAAGAAAAUGCAGGUGAUUGUGUGCUUCCCAAAGAAAGUUUGUCAGCCAAAGGUGCCUGCAAAGAAAAUGUUCCAGCGAGCAGUUCUACCCAGUUGCAUUGUGAGAAUGGAGAAGGCCGUGUUAAUGGAUUGGGAAAGAAACCCUUACAGACUGUAGCUUCCUUCUCUCCACCAGUACAGAAUACUCAUCCCCUGUUGCAUGAAGGUACCGAGGAAGAUGCAAUCUGCAGGCGGACACGGGCAAGAUACUCUCUGGCAAAUUACGCACUUGACGAGUUAGAGACCUUUCUCCAGGAAUCUGACGAUGAUGGUGACCUGCAGAAUGUUGAUGAGGAAGAGGAAUACCGCAAGUUUCUUUCAGCUGUCCUGUCUGGUGGAGGCGAUGGCACGCAGCCUUGCCAGGGGGAUGAAACCCAGGAUGAAGAUGAGAAUGAUGCGGACUUUGAGCUCGAAAUUGAGGAGGCCCUGGAAAGUGAUGGUGGUGAAAAUGUCGAGAAUGAUAAGAACAUAAAUGGUAGGAAUAAGAAAGAUGGUCAUAGGCCUCAGACUAGGAAGAAGAGACCUGAGUCGUCCAGGGCAGUCAAUCAUCAACAGGAAUCAACUAAACCUAAUUUGCGACCGAUUGUCCCAAAUUUCUCACCUACACCCCAGGUUCCUGGGCAGUAUCCAUCCCAGAACAUCAAUGUCCCUUCCUCAUCAUCAUCAGCAACUGGUGCUGCUGUAGUGAAGGGGUUUACUGAUGAGCAACUUGGCCAAUUGCAUAUUUUGAUAUAUGAACAUGUUCAGCUCAUGAUCCAAACCUUCUCUCUAUGCGUUCUUGACCCAUCUAAACAGCGUGUGGCUGCUGAUGUUAAAAAAAUGAUAGUUGAGUUGGUUGGCUACCGUGAUCAAGCAUUGGCUAGGAAAAACACUAUACGUCAACAAUUCUAUUUUGAAGGGCAGCAUCUUCGGUCAGCAAUUAGUCAUGCUUUUUCUGAGACCUCGCAAUGCCAAUGGAUUCCAUUAAUUAAGAAUCCUGUUAUGUCCAUCCUUGAUGUCUCACCACUUCAUUUGGCCCUCAGCUAUUUAAGUGAUGUUGCAGGCGCUGUUGUGAAGUAUAGAAAAAGCCAUGUGGAUGGCACUCCAGAGAGGAUCCGCUUUAGGAAAGAACCUCUUUUUCCAUCACCGGUACUUAGCACUGGCAGAGAUGCUAACAAUAUUUCUCAAGACAGACCAAAUAAUGUGUCCACAUCAACACCAGCUUCACCUGGCCAGUCACAGCCCAAGAAAUCAUUAGCUGCUACCCUUUUUGAGAGUACUAAAAAGGAGUCGGUUGCUCUUGUUCCAUUUGAUAUUGCAAGAUUGGCGCAGAGAUUUUAUCCACUAUUCAAUUUUUCGCUGUUUCCUCAUAAGCCACCUCCCGCAGCUAUGGUCAGUAGACUGCUUUUCACUGAUGCAGAGGACGGGUUAUUAGCUCUAGGACUUCUGGAAUAUAAUAAUGACUGGGAAGCGAUACAAAAGCGUUUUCUUCCUUGCAAGUCAACGCAUCAGAUAUUUGUGAGACAGAAGAACCGCAGCUCAGCAAAAGCUACUGACAAUCCAGUCAAGGAUGUGCGCCGUAUGAAGAAUUCUCCAUUGACUAGUGAGGAAGUGCAGCGUAUCGAAGAGGGGCUCAAGAUAUUCAAACAUGAUUGGACAUCUGUUUGGAAGUUUGUUGUGCCAUACAGAGAUCCUUCACUGCUCCAGCGUCAGUGGAGAGUUGCCAAUGGAAUCCAGCGAUCUUACAGUAAAAGUGAGGCUUUGAAAGCAAAGAGGAGAACAUAUGAAGCGAAGAGGAGGCAAUUAAAAGCUUCCAUGGCUGAUUCACAAGUAGGUCGUGAGCAGGAGACUGAUAAUGAUGCUUUUGAGGAUGUUGAAAAUGAUGAUGAUGAUGAUGAUGAUGAUGAUGAUGGUGAUGAUCCAUAUGUCAAUGAAGCAUUUUUAGCAGACACAGAGAAUAGGAGCAUGAAUAUGAUGCAAACGGGCACCAGCCUCAAUGAUGAAUGUGGUUCUGCAUAUGGCCGCUUUGAGCAGCAUAAAAGAAAUGGUACGCAUCAUGGUGUCGGCGCUGCAUAUAUACCUUUUAGCUCUUGCGCUUCUGAUGGUCCUUCAACUAAAAGGGUGUUUGGUGUGACUUUGGAUGAACCGCAAGCUUCACAAUUGUCUAAAGAGAAAGGUAGCCAUGUCGUCAAGUUGGCCCCAGAUUUGCCUCCUGUAAACCUUCCUCCUUCUGUCCGUGUGAUAUCUCAGAUGGAAUUUCAUCAGAAUGCGGCGCAGGAUCUGUUUCCUGUGCCACCUCCAACCUUUACAGAAUGUGUUUACACACAGCUAAAUCUUUUCCCUCAUCAUAGUACUACUGACAGAUCGCAACAACAUGGGCGUGAUGCACGUUCGAUGGAAGAUGGCGCUGAGCAAGAUUUUCAAAUGCAUCCUUUGCUUUUUCAGCAUCCUCGAGAAGUGCUUUCGUCACAUAGCCAUUCGAUUCAAAAUCUUACUAGUCAUUCAAGAAAUUAUAAUCUUUUCCCUUUUGAGAAAGUUCAAGUUGAGAAAAGUAAUACGCAGACUACAGAUGGCAUGGAAAGAGCUCCUGUCAAUGCUAAUACCAUCGACUUCCAUCCUCUGCUGCAAAGACCUGAAGCUGAGAUGCAUGUGGAAGUACCAGAAGAGGACUGUCGUCCACUUUCUAAUCAAUCUGACGGUCGUAUUAGGGAACCUCCAGUGGAUGACCAGUCAACAGUUAGGGAAGCGUCGACAAGCAAAAGAGAGAACGGUAUUGAUAUGCAAGAAUCCACAAGCCCUUGUGAGAGGGAUACCAACAUUGAUUUGGACAUUCAUUUAUGUUCCUCAGUGGAUUUCAGGAUUGCAAAUGAUUUGAGAAGUACUCCUAGUAAAUCCAGAAUUCAGCCAGAAAGGCCUGUGAAGGACAGAGCUAGUAUUUUGAAUUUACAGCCUGGGAAUGCUAGUCCUCAUCAUGACACUGAAAGGCCUGGUGAGGAAACAAUGCAAGGCAUUGUAAUGGAACAAGAAGAAUUAAGUGAUUCCGAGGAAGAGAGCCAGCAUGUUGAGUUUGAAUGUGAGGAAAUGGAUGAUUCUGAAGACGAGCAAGUUCAGGGCACAGAACCUUGUUCGACUACAAACAAGGGAACUUCAGCAUCAAUUGUUUGUUCAGAGUUGCAAGAAAAUAAUGACCAGUGUCAAACCCAACAAGGAUUAAAACAGGUGGCUAAACAGGGUGUGGGUUCAAAACGGAAAUCGCGUGGGUCUUCUAGUGCAAGGUCGGUCAGAGCAAAGUUGAAGCCGACGGAUGCAGAUGCAGAAAAGCACACAGGAACUAGAAGAAGCCGACGGAUAUCCAGGUCCAGAUCUCGAGCGAGUGAAUCUAGCCAGGCCAAAAUGCCGGAAGAGGCAGGUCCUGAACAUAAGUCCAGUGAGUCAAGAAGGUCUAGAAAGAGCCCUGCCCCGAGUUAA
Molecule: ribosomal RNA, 3714 nt
Filed under: Triticum aestivum (bread wheat)
Lineage: Eukaryota; Viridiplantae; Streptophyta; Magnoliopsida; Poales; Poaceae
Description: partial small subunit ribosomal RNA
Source: RNAcentral